This 497-nucleotide ribosomal RNA is filed under the name uncultured bacterium. RNAcentral describes it as "partial 16S ribosomal RNA". It matches the Rfam family "Bacterial small subunit ribosomal RNA", at positions 28 to 507 of the family's 1533-position model. The record is from RNAcentral.
GAUGAACGCUGGCGGCAUGCCUAAUACAUGCAAGUCGAGCGAACAGACGAGGAUCUUGCUCCUCUGACGUUAGCGGCGGACGGGUGAGUCACACGUGGAUAACCUACCUAUAAGACUGGGAUAACUUCGGGAAACCGGAGCUCAUACCGGAUCAUAUAUUGAACCGCAUGGUUCAAUAGUGAAAGACGGUUUUGCUGUCACUUAUAGAUGGAUCCGCGCCGCAUUAGCUAGUUGGUAAGGUAACGGCUUACCAAGGCGACGAUGCGUAGCCGACCUGAGAGGGUGAUCGGCCACACUGGAACUGAGACACGGUCCAGACUCCUACGGGAGGCAGCAGUAGGGAAUAUUCCGCAAUGGGCGAAAGCCUGACGGAGCAACGCCGCGUGAGUGAUGAAGGUCUUCGGAUCGUAAAACUCUUUUAGUAGGGAAGAACAAAUGUGUAAGUAACUAUGCACGUCUUGACGGUACCUAAUCAGAAAGCCACGGCUAACUUCGUG